CCUACGGGGGGCAGCAGUGAGGAAUAUUGGUCAAUGGACGAGAGUCUGAACCAGCCAAGUAGCGUGAAGGAUGACUGCCCUAUGGGUUGUAAACUUCUUUUAUAUGGGAAUAAAAUGUUCCACGUGUGGGAUUUUGUAUGUACCAUAUGAAUAAGGAUCGGCUAACUCCGUGCCAGCAGCCGCGGUAAUACGGAGGAUCCGAGCGUUAUCCGGAUUUAUUGGGUUUAAAGGGAGCGUAGGUGGAUUGUUAAGUCAGUUGUGAAAGUUUGCGGCUCAACCGUAAAAUUGCAGUUGAAACUGGCAGUCUUGAGUACAGUAGAGGUGGGCGGAAUUCGUGGUGUAGCGGUGAAAUGCUUAGAUAUCACGAAGAACUCCGAUUGCGAAGGCAGUUCACUGGACUGCAACUGACACUGAGGCUCGAAAGUGUGGGUAUCAAACAGGAUUAGAUACCUGUGUAGUC
RNAcentral lists this ribosomal RNA (460 nucleotides) under uncultured bacterium. RNAcentral describes it as "partial 16S ribosomal RNA". It matches the Rfam family "Bacterial small subunit ribosomal RNA", at positions 338 to 795 of the family's 1533-position model. The record is from RNAcentral.